RNAcentral lists this long non-coding RNA (2306 nucleotides) under Anolis carolinensis (green anole). Its description in RNAcentral is "lncRNA (ENSACAG00000038772.1)". Lineage: Eukaryota; Metazoa; Chordata; Lepidosauria; Squamata; Anolidae. The record is from RNAcentral.
CACCCUCGGUGUGUGCCUCGAGACAGCCCCUCCCCUCUGUGUGCGCGAGCUGAGGGGCGGAGCCAUCGACGCGCUCCUGAGGAGGAGGAAGGGGGGGGGAGAGAGAAAGAGGGCGACGUCGCUGCUGCUGCCAGAGCGAGGGAGGGAGGGAGAGAGAGGGGGCGGCUCGCGCGCGCUGGGCACUUCGGGAAGGGGAGGGGGAGGUCGGGCGCGCGGGCGUCGGAGGCGCCUGGGACCCGGAGGGAGGGAAAGGGAAAGAGGGAGGCGGGCGGGCGCCGCCGCCGACAGACAGACGACGCUCGGAGAGCCCGACGCUUUCUCGCCGCCGCCCUGCCUUCCUGCCUCCGGAAAGAGAAGGACGGACCCUUUCCCUCACUAACUGCCCCCUUUCGAAAUUUCAGGAAGUCCAGACUAUACCAGGGCCAAGAUCUUCUCUGUCCUUUUCCUAAAGAGUGAAGUUGUUUUCUUGAGGCUUGCACCUCAGUCUCACAAGGAAAAAUAGCAGUGAGGGAGAAAGUAUAAAGGUUAAUGUUUUCAUCCACCCGGACAAAGGAGAAUGGGGACCCUACACCCAAAAGAAUGAAGACUCGACAGAAUAAAGACUCUGUAAGUGAAUUGUGCUCAAAAUGGGGGUGGGGAGUGAGGUGGGAGAGCAGCUGAACUGAGUGAUGAUAUCUAUGACCCUGCAAGAGAUGCCAGAGAUGUUGUUGAGCACUAAUGGAGAAAGGUCUGGACCUGUAAAGACGAUUUGGGAGGAUUUUGGGGUUUUGCUUGAAGGGUGUAAAUAUAGUUGUGCCUCUGCAUUUUCAGAUUUUAUUUUUGUGGAUUUGAUUAAAAAUGUUAUCUCUAGAAAUGUCUAGGUCCAUCAGUGUGACUCUAUAGUCCACUGCCUCCAGUCAUACUGGAGGAUCUAGCGAUUUCUACAGAAAACACCUCUCUAGAAUCUCUAGGUCCUGGAGUGUGAUUCUAUUUAUUUAUUAUUUAUUAUUUACUACAUUUAUAUCUCGCCCUUCUCACCCCAAGAAGGGGACUCAGAGCAGCCUUACAAAAAGGCAGCCAUUUUAUGCCAUGCACAUACAUAUAUACGGUAAAAAUAAGCAUAUAUGUUAAAACCAAAAAUCAGCAGCAAUAUUAAAACAAUUAUUAAAAUAUUAAAUUCUAUUACUUCCAGCAAACAUUGAUCAUAGAUUCAUGCUAGAAGACCUAUACAUUACUAGAGAUACGUUCUCUCAGGUGAAAAAAAACACCAAUUUCCUUUUCACUUUCAUGGGGAUCCUAUGCCUCUAACCAGUAAAUGUUUGAUUUUUAUAUGUAUUUUAUAUACCUAUGUACCUGAGGUCAAAUAAAAAUUUCUAGUACCAAAAGUUGUCUUGAGCAGAAAAGUUUAAGAAGCCUUGCUUUAGAGGGUGAGGUGGCUUUUAAAAUACAGGUAGCCCUCUGUAUCCACAGAUUCUGCACCCACAAAUUUCACUAUCCUCAGCUUGAUGAAAAACGCAAACAUUGAUUAUGCUUUCCUAAAUUAGACAAUAUUUUAUAUAAAGUCCUAAUUAGAGGGAGAUGAAUAAUUGUUUUUUAUCCAGUUGCUGCCAGUUAGAAGACUAAGCUCUGCCCACUUGGUCUCCUAGCAACCUACUCAGCCCAGGGGACAGGCAGAGUUAGGCCUCUUCCACACUGCCUAUAAGAUACAGAUUAUCUGAUUUUAACUGGAUUCUAUGGCAGUGUGGACUCAAGGCCCUUCCACACAGCUAUAUGACCUAUUUAUAAUCUUAUAUUAUCUGCUUUGAACUGGACUAUCUUGAGUCCACACUGCCAGAUAAUUCACUUCAGUGUGCAUUUUAUACAGCUGUGUAGAAGGGGCCUCGUAUAAUCCAGUUCUUAGCAGAUAAUAUAAGAUUAUAAAUAUACAGUAGAGUCUCACUUAUCCAACAUAAACAGGCUGGCAGAACGUUGGAUAAGUGAAUAUGUUGAAUAAUAAGAAGGGAUUCAGAAAAAGCCUACUAAACAUCAAAUUAGGUAAUGAUUAUACAAAUUAAACACCAAACAUCGUGUUAUACAACAAAUUUGACAGAAAAAGUAGUUCAAUGCUCAGUAAUGCUAUGUUGUAAUUUCUGUAUUUACAAAUUUAGCACCAAAAUAUCACAAUGAAUUUAAAACAUUGACUACAAAAACAUCGACUACUAAAAGGCAGACUGCGUUGAAUAAUCCAGAACACUGGAUAAGCAUAUGUUGGAUAAGUGAGAUUCUACUGUAAAAUGAAAUAAUUACUGUGGUAAUCCAGUCCAACCCAAUUCUGCCAUGGAGGACAC